RNAcentral lists this ribosomal RNA (504 nucleotides) under uncultured bacterium. RNAcentral's name for it is "partial 16S ribosomal RNA". It matches the Rfam family "Bacterial small subunit ribosomal RNA", at positions 28 to 523 of the family's 1533-position model. The record is from RNAcentral.
GAUGAACGCUAGCGGCAGGCUUAAUACAUGCAAGUCAAGGGGCAGCAUGACUGUAGCAAUACAGUUGAUGGCGACCGGCAAACGGAUGCGGAACACGUACAGAACCUUCCUUUAAGUGGUGAAUAGCCCAGAGAAAUGUGGAUUAAUACACCGUAACAUAUAGAGUUGGCAUCAAUUUUAUAUUAUAGCCCCGGCGCUUAAAGAUGGCUGUGCGGCUGAUUAGGUAGUUGGCGGGGUAACGGCCCACCAAGCCUACGAUCAGUAACUGGUGUGAGAGCACGACCAGUCACACGGGCACUGAGACACGGGCCCGACUCCUACGGGAGGCAGCAGUAAGGAAUAUUGGUCAAUGGACGCAAGUCUGAACCAGCCAUGCCGCGUGGAGGAUGAAGGUCCUCUGGAUUGUAAACUUCUUUUCUCUGGGGCGAAAACCUCCCAUCCUUGGGAGCUUGACAGCACCAGAGGAAUAAGCACCGGCUAACUCCGUGCCAGCAGCCGCAGUAA